GGGUGAGUAAUGCCUGGGAAUUUGCCCAUUUGUGGGGGAUAACAGUUGGAAACGACUGCUAAUACCGCAUACGCCCUACGGGGGAAAGCAGGGGACCUUCGGGCCUUGCGCUGAUGGAUAAGCCCAGGUGGGAUUAGCUAGUAGGUGAGGUAAAGGCUCACCUAGGCGACGAUCCCUAGCUGGUCUGAGAGGAUGAUCAGCCACACUGGGACUGAGACACGGCCCAGACUCCUACGGGAGGCAGCAGUGGGGAAUAUUGCACAAUGGGGGAAACCCUGAUGCAGCCAUGCCGCGUGUGUGAAGAAGGCCUUCGGGUUGUAAAGCACUUUCAGCGAGGAGGAAAGGGUGUAAGUUAAUACCUUACAUCUGUGACGUUACUCGCAGAAGAAGCACCGGCUAACUCCGUGCCAGCAGCCGCGGUAAUACGGAGGGUGCGAGCGUUAAUCGGAAUUACUGGGCGUAAAGCGUGCGCAGGCGGUUUGUUAAGCGAGAUGUGAAAGCCCCGGGCUCAACCUGGGAACCGCAUUUCGAACUGGCAAACUAGAGUCUUGUAGAGGGGGGUAGAAUUCCAGGUGUAGCGGUGAAAUGCGUAGAGAUCUGGAGGA
Molecule: ribosomal RNA, 605 nt
Filed under: Shewanella algae
Lineage: Bacteria; Pseudomonadati; Pseudomonadota; Gammaproteobacteria; Alteromonadales; Shewanellaceae
Description: bacterial SSU rRNA
Rfam family: Bacterial small subunit ribosomal RNA
Source: RNAcentral